This 989-nucleotide long non-coding RNA is filed under the name Mus musculus (house mouse). Its description in RNAcentral is "RIKEN cDNA 1110019B22 gene". Lineage: Eukaryota; Metazoa; Chordata; Mammalia; Rodentia; Muridae. The record is from RNAcentral.
AGGUCUGGGUUGUGUCCCCAGAGAGACCACAGUUGGCUGCGUGAGAGUCCCAGAACAGGAAAUGCAACAGCAGCCAGCACGCUGGCCCCAGAGUUCACUGAGCUCCAGGCUUACUUUCGCUGGGCAGCCUGGGCAAGUCAGACUCUUGGGGUUUCCAUCUGUAAAGCAGAUGCGGCAGUAAGAUAGGAGUGGAAGCCGGGGCCACAGCUUCCACGCCGAGACCUCUGUAAUAACGCAACCCAGAUGUGUGUUGUGAUAGUCUAGGCACUGUUUGGGCUUGUUUGACCUUCUCCAGACCAUUUUAAGUGGAUGCAACUGUCAUUGUCAUUAUACUCCUGGGGACAGUGCUCAGGUGAUCACAAAAGCAUUUGGCACCCCGUCCCAGUGACUGCUAUGGACACAACUCAACCCUUCUAGCCAUGCCUUUGAACCCCUGCUGGUCUUCUGCAUGUGACAAUCUACAAGCUGCUGCUUCAAGAUACCCGCAGAGAAGCCGCUGAGCUAUUCCAGAGACUACGCCCUAUUCUGAACAUCAUCACCUGCAGCUGGUUCCAGGCUCCAAGGAUGAAUUGGCGGAAUGGACUUUUCUCCCCUUUUCUUUAUAAGGCGUGUUCCCCGACAUUAAAGUUGAACCUUGAGAAGACUAGCAUGUCUUGGUUCCAUUGUUUCUCAACCCACCUAGGCUCCCUCUUUUCUUCCAGAUUCCAAGAUGCCUUCCAGGCUCGAACCUGGACAUGUGAGCCGCUGGCCAGCCCCCAACACUGCCUGGGCCACACCUACUCCAUCAGGCUGACCUUCGUGCCCACAAUCCACCUGCCCCACAGAAUCUUCUUCCUUCCCCUCUCCUCUUCUAGUCUCUCACUCAGACCCCAAGCCCCAGAACCCAAGCCCUGCCUACCUCUUUCUGCCCAGCUACAGGCUGUAGGCAUUUUUAUUGACCCAUCAGGGAUAGCUUGGGAGACAAGGUUACAUAGCAUCAUGUACAGGAG